Vicia villosa (hairy vetch) is the source of this 1113-nucleotide long non-coding RNA. RefSeq lists it as uncharacterized. The transcript is spliced from 4 exons. The record is from RefSeq and is a predicted model, not a curated record. Lineage: Eukaryota; Viridiplantae; Streptophyta; Magnoliopsida; Fabales; Fabaceae.
AGUCUUAUUUCAAUACUCCUCCUAAUUUGCAUUACAGAUAGCAACACAAGGAAAGAAAAUCACUUUACCCAACAAAAGAAUUUUCAACACCCACUCCAAUUAAUGGAGAUGGUGUCUGCAAGAUUGGAAGAGACACAAGGUUCCAAAUGCGAACAACAUACGGUAACAACAAAUGAGCAUUUAGCUUUGAGGAUGAUGAUAAUUAUUUUACCUGCGGCUGUGAUUUUCUUGAUUAAGACAUGUCUUCUUCUAACUACGAAAUGGUGGGUAUGCCCAUGGAAAAUAAGUAUUAUGAAAUUUGAAGAGACAAGUUAAAUACUUUGAUGAACUUCUUGAAAAAUUGCUAAGGAACAUUGAAGAUUUGUGGUUUGGUUUUGAUAAACACUUAUUUUUUUGUGGGUUAUUAGGACAGUUAAAAGUAGAUGAUUUUUUAAAACUAAUAAUUUUUAAUAUUUUAUAGUUUAUUGGUUGACUCAUGUCUUCUGACUAUAAGAAAACUCAAAAAUAUUAAAGAAUUAUUAUGGAUGACGUAGUUCCGAUAUAUUUUUUUGGAAAAUUUAAGAUUUGUGGUUUGGUUUAGGUAAAUGCUUACUUCUUGAUAAGGCAAUGGAACAAUAGAAAGUAGAGUCUUUCAUAAAAUCAAUAAUUUUCAAUAUUUUGAAAGUAUAUAAAAAUGCAUAACCAUUGUUCAAUUAUAUGGUGAUAGCAAUUCACAUUGGGUCAAUAAUGCAUCAUAUUGAUUUUUGUAAAGAUAUUGAAGAAAAAAUAAUGUAUUUAUGGCUUAAGAUAGUUAGAUUACCUCGCCAUGCAUGUCAUCAUGCGAUAGAUUCAAAUUUGAAAUAGAUUAUUCAUAUUUGGUUUUAGAGAAUUUCCCAAACCACAAAUGGGUGUGUUUGGAUUGGCGGUGGCCAGAUUUAAGUUUGAUAGAAUUGAUAUUUAAUAUAGUUGAGUUUAAAAUAAUUGAUUUAUGUUGGGAUACAAUGAUAUAGAAGUGAUUGUUAUCAAUUAAUGUUGUUUGGAUAGUUUUAACAAAAUUGAUUUUGAAUUGUAUAAUUACCAAAAUGAUAAUAAAUUCUAGUACAAAUCAAAAAGAAAAUAAGUAAUUAAUGAAAA